UGCCAAACAAGUCCGAUCUACA
Molecule: microRNA, 22 nt
Filed under: Amphimedon queenslandica
Lineage: Eukaryota; Metazoa; Porifera; Demospongiae; Haplosclerida; Niphatidae
Description: aqu-miR-2014-3p
Source: miRBase by way of RNAcentral